RNAcentral lists this long non-coding RNA (270 nucleotides) under Elaeis guineensis (African oil palm). RNAcentral describes it as "long non-coding RNA (EGUI_LNC044403)". Lineage: Eukaryota; Viridiplantae; Streptophyta; Magnoliopsida; Arecales; Arecaceae. The record is from RNAcentral.
GUUCUUGGACAUGGAGAAGACCAGAGAGAGAGAAAAAAUUAGAAAAAAAAUAAUUUUGUAUUUUUUUCGAUCAAUCGAGUCCAAAUACAAUGUAUGUUUAUAUAUAGGGUCAAUAUGAUCCAACCCAAAAACUCCUUUGACUAACUCAAUACAAGAUUAUGCUCACCCAAGUCCAUGUAUACCCAUGACUUGACUCAAUCUCAUAAUCUUGGACUUAAUUUUAGCUCAAAUAUAAGUUAGCCCCUCAAGGCCCAAAAUCUUUGGACCUCA